Molecule: ribosomal RNA, 243 nt
Filed under: uncultured bacterium
Lineage: Bacteria
Description: partial 16S ribosomal RNA
Rfam family: Bacterial small subunit ribosomal RNA
Source: RNAcentral
UACGAAGGGGGCGAGCGUUGUUCGGAAUUACUGGGCGUAAAGCGUGCGCAGGCGGUCUGUUAAGACCGAUGUGAAAUCCCCGGGCUUAACCUGGGAACUGCAUUGGUGACUGGCAGGCUUUGAGUGUGGCAGAGGGAGGUAGAAUUCCACGUGUAGCAGUGAAAUGCGUAGAGAAUGUGGAGGAAUACCGAUGGCGAAGGGCAGCCUCCUGGGCCAACACUGACGCUCAUGCACGAAGCGUGG